AGCUUUUUCUUAACAACAUCUAUCGCUAUCAUGAAUUACCUAAAGAUAUUAUAUCAGAUAAAGGGGCUUAAUUUAUAUCAUGAUUUUAGAAAAUUCUUUUUAAAAUUUUAAAGGUUGAUAUAAAGUUCUAUUUUGCUUUUCAUCCUAAAACAGAUGGAUAAAUAAAAUGGGUGAAUCAAAUUUAGGAGUAGUACUUGAAAUAUACCAUUAACUAUCAUCAAGAUGAUUGGAUAUCUCUUUUAAUAUUAAUAGAAUUUACAUACAAUAAUUCAAUAUAUUCUUCUAUUCAACAAAUAGCUUUCUUUGCCAAUUAUGGCUAUCAUCUACAACUUGAUACUUUUGACUUUUCAAAAGUUGAUAAUCCUGCAAUGAAAGAUUUGGCAAAUUUUUGUCAAAGCAUGUAACAAUGUAAUAAUGUAACAAUGUAAUAAUGUAGGUACAAUUAAAAAGAGCUCAAAACAACAAAAAAUUAAUGUAAAUUUAUAUUCCAACGAACAACCACAAUUCAACCUAGAUGAUAAGGAGAGACUCCCAAUGUUUGGUGAUUUUAUGAGAGGUAGGAACAAUUCUUGACAGUGUUCAAAAUAUUUUAUUUGAAAGAAGUAACAUGAUUGUCUUCUUCUCUUAGUAUGGAACACUAUCGAUGGCUAAAAAGACCUAUCAACUAUUUUCAAAGAAAACAAAGAGUAGAGUAUGUAGCAAAUAUAAUUUUCUGCAUCUUAAAUUUCAUCAACAUAUGAUAAUCACUCUUCGUAGAACUCAUUCCUAGAAAGGAAGAUAAUAUCACGGAUAUAUAUACGUACUCUAAUAAAUACCUAUAUGAUUAAAUAUAAAUAAAUAGAAAUAAAUAAAAAUAUAUUAAUUUCAUAAUAUCUUCUAGAAAAGUUUCUUAGAAGCUUUAUAGAAGCUGCUUUGACCUUACAUAUGUUUGUAAUUAAUUAAUAGCUUAGAAACUUGAUCAACAAAUUAACAAUGUGCUGUUAGCUUGUAAAAUAAAUUAACUAUAUGGUGUACAUAUAAAAAACUUGCCUUGCAAGUUAAGAUACGUGUCUUACAAAGUCUUCACAUUUUGGAGGUUUUAUAUGACAUCGCCACGUAGUUCCUAGUUAAGAGUAUAUAUGGAGGCAAGAGUGAAGCCUUCUUCACUCUUGUCAAUAUCUUUUUAGUCCUUAAUCUUGUUUCAAGACUUUCUAGUCUUCUUGUUUUUGGCAAUAGCCAUUCUAGUUCAAUAUUAUAUCAUCUUUGAAUGACUUUUUAAUUCUUUUUAGUGACACAAAGAGUAUAUUGAGGAUUUUCGUUCUUCAAGAUUCAUGUCCUUAACAAUCACAUGCAAUAGCUUAAGAAAUAAGUUUUUCCAAUGAAUCUACCUUCAACAAUUUUAAGAUUAAAUUUCUGACAAUAUAUUUCAAUCCAUAUUGAAAUUAAUUGAUGAAGGCUUUGUCAUUGUAAUCCACAUUGUAAGCAAGAUUUUGAAAUUUAGUAACAUUUAUGGUGGUUGAAUGUGAUCCUUGUCGUAGAGAUAUAAACUUGAUUUUUGCUACCCUUUCUUAAUCACUUUCUCCAAAUGUAGCCAUAAAUACUUCUAAGAAUGAAUUCUAAUCAUAGAAUAGUCUUGAAUCUUUUUCCAUCAAAGGUACAAAUCAAGAAAGAGUACUCCAAAAGAGAAGUAUUCUUAUGAAUUCCUCUUGAAUAAAUCCAUAAGGGUAUUAAGGCAUCAAAACCUACAAAAACACACCUCUUAUUAAAACAUCUUGUUGCCAUGUUGAAGAUUCUUAAAACUUAGGAUUCAAAAACAACCAAUAAAUUUCUUAAUAAUAUUUUAGUAAUUUGGUUUCCAUCUCUUUUAUAAAACCAUCAUAUUAUUUUAUUAUUUUACACAUAUUAUGUUCAUCAUAUUUGAAGCAUUAUGUGAAUGUUUUUUCCUAGUAUAUUUUCAAUUUACUAUAGAAAGCCAUUUCAAUUUUUAUUUUUAUUUUUUUAAAAGACCCCAAUAAGAAGAGUAAACGGAUGAGAGCAGACAUUCAUCCGUCUUCAUUAACGUGAUGAGCAUGAGGACAAUUCACACACACCUACUGAUGGAUGCACAUGACCAACGACUGGAUGAACCCUCACGUUCGUUCCCAACUCCUUGACAACGAAUGAAAAGAAGAAACUGCACAUUCAUCCAUGUAGCCACUCAUCCCAAUAGAAAAAUACGGUGGGUUGAUUUCACACGAGGCUUAGACGGACCAGGCAGAGGAAAGCAGCUUCAAAGCAACGUUUCAUAAAGAACGGGGAACUCCAUGGGGAACGAUAGAACCUUCGUUUGUGCGGGAAUAUCAUCCAUCCAUUUCCUGGUGCCGGUUUUCAUUCAUCUUGGGCGGUGGAGCUGCAGUUCACUGGAGAGCACUAGCUCUGUCAGUGCCGCGAGCGACGCGUCUCAGCCCAGGAUGUUACGUGGGUGAUAUUUAUCUAGCGACUACGGGAUACCGAUAAUUCGACGGCACCGGCGUCGAAUUGACUCGGUCAAAAGUGGAAAGCAUACAGCCUCUUGAUUAGGUCGACAGCCUUUACAAAUCCUUUGCUUUUUCAAGUCAUUAUAACAAAUUUGGCAUCGUUUCGAAUGCGGUGGAUGGUGAGACGAUUGUCGAGGAAAAUAAGCUGCAAUCUGUGAUGAUGAUGAUUCCUGAGUGGACUUGAUGCAUGGGGUGCUGAUUUUUCUACCCAUUUGUUACAGAAAAAAACUGCUGGUGCAGCGGCGUUUCCACAUUCAUUUUUCAGUGGGGUAUGAGCACAGUCACUCGUAUGCCGCGUCUUCGCGUUCACAAGUCCGCAGUUACCACCGGAUGGGCACGCCCUUUAAUGAUAUCUGUUUGUGCUUAUCCGCAGUCAGAUGGUAUAAAAUACAUGACAAAUAUAGAAUGUACUGUAUUUUGAGGUGUUUAUUGUACAGGUACGGCGCACCGACCGUGUAUUCUUCAGGCGAUGGUUAUCACUCCCGCGACCGUACUCAUUGCCACCGAUCGGGCUAUAGCCAAUGUAACUCAAGAUGGGAAUCAAGAUCAUUGUGGAAGAGAUUCACCCGUGAUGCAGGACUACUCUUUAGACCCCAGUACCGAGUGUCGAUCAUGGACUGGCUGAGAAACAGUUUCUAAAUAAAUAAUUGCUGAUUGUCGAUUGCCACUUGGCAGCCUGAACCUAAUCUGCCACGCACCCAGUGUCGACACAUCACACCCCUCUCUCACGUAUAAGUACACCCUCCGCAUUCAAGUUUGCAUGAUCAAUUUUCAAGACACGCUCAUUUGUUUCAUUGCAAUCGUCGUUAAGUCAAGUAUUCAGUUUUUCUUCUAGAGACAUUUUUGUUUGUGUAGACAGCCAUGGACAAGAUCAAGGACAUGUUGCACGGUCACAAGAAGGACGACGAGCACGCUCAUGCCACCCCAGCCACCGCCACCACCACCAACGUCGGUACCGCUGAAGCUGGCUACUCCGAUCCCGCUACAACCCAUCACGAGGAGGGAAAAGAGAAGAAGGGCUUCCUCGGACUUGGUGGCCACAAGAAGGUACUGUCACUUCACAUCUCGUUCAUUAUGUAUUCCACUUUUGCAAUAGUGGACGGUUCCGACAUGGAUUACUCGUUGUCUAUCAUGUGCACGCCCACGUUUAUGUUGUUUUUCAAUGGUUUGAAUAGUGAUGCAAUGUCGAGGAUCCCGUGAUUCUAACUCGAGUUACAAUGGGUCGUGUUAACAGGAAGGCGAGGAAGGAAAGAAGCAUGGGUUCAUGGGUAUGGGAGGCGGCUCCAGCUCCAGCUCUUCCUCUGAUGAGGAACGCGAAGGUGCGGCAGAGCGAAACCGGCUCCGCCGUGAGAAGCGUGCGCAGCGUACUGCGGGCAAAACAGCUGCCGGCACCGUACCUGUAGAAGGCACUGGCGAGAAGAAGCACGGCUUCUUUGGCUAAGCGCCGAUUGUGUAUAACUCACGACCUUAACAUCCUUCUGAGGAGCGUGCGAUCCAGAUCGAAGGAGGCAGUCACAGUUACGAACUUUAUAUGAAAAAGCUUCCGGAUCCUAUGUGUAGUAAUAAUUCUCUGUGUACACUGUCGAUUAUGUGGUUUAUAUA
RNAcentral lists this long non-coding RNA (4097 nucleotides) under Physcomitrium patens. RNAcentral describes it as "long non-coding RNA (PPAT_LNC008009)". The record is from RNAcentral. Lineage: Eukaryota; Viridiplantae; Streptophyta; Bryopsida; Funariales; Funariaceae.